UAUCCGAACACACCUAAAUUCCAUUCCAGAACAAAAGCAAAGUGGAGAAGAAAGGUCCAACAAGUACAAAUACACACACCAUCAUCACCGUUGUGUGCGCUUUGAAGGAGUUUUUGAUUGAUACAAUACAGAUUACAGAGUACAGAGAGAGAAAUGGGGAUAAUGGCAUGCUUAGGGGUGUUAGUACCCUUCCCAUAUUACCACUGGCUGUGGAAGUACCCACAGACAUGGGUGGAUCUGUGUGGCAGACAACGAGACCCUUCAAAAGUGAUGGCUCGAGUUUCUCACGCCCUCAAGCUCAUUCAGUUAUUCUCUCUCUUCUCUGUCUCCUCUCUCUCUUGGCCGCCUCCUCUCUACUUCUGGCCCCUCUUCCUCUUCGGCCAGUUCCUCAACUUCAGGGUAUAUCAAUUGCUCGGUGAACCAGGCACUUACUAUGGUGUACGCUUUGGAAAGAACAUCCCAUGGGUAACAGAAUUUCCCUUUGGGGUGAUAAAAGACCCCCAGUAUGUCGGAAGUGUACUGAGUCUUCUGGCCUGUUUAUCUUGGGUUCCCUUCCUGUACAUUCUCUUGUGGGUAUUGGGCUAUGCAUUCAUGAUAUAUGUGGAGUCCAAGGAAGAUCCGGCUACUCGUGCCAAGCCACUUUCUUGAGAUCAGCAAGACGCUAAUCAGUGAGUUCCAGGAACCAAUGACGCAGAGAAUCCUCCUCCAUGAGGAACUUUCAAUUUAUGAUGAUCACACAUUGACCAUAAAGACAGCACUCAAAUUGCUUUGAGUUGUUUCCCAAUAUCUGCCAUUGAUGAUUACGCCUAUAAAGACGACAGUCAAAUUGCUUUGAGGAGUUUGCCAAUAUCUGUAAUUGAUGAUUACGAAUGGAAGCAGUUCCAAAUUCGACUCGAGACGUAGACACGACCCCUUAUGAACAAUUACUAAUUAUUCAGGUUCGGUUUUGAUGUAAACGAAUGAGGCUUCUUUCUAUCCAGAUUUUGAAAUGGUUUCUACACCAUUGGUAAAUGAUUAAUGCGGGAAACUUAUUUUUUCUCUUGCAAAUGGU
RNA transcript from Cornus florida, 1051 nucleotides. It is a transcript of the gene named phosphatidyl-N-methylethanolamine N-methyltransferase, with no coding region annotated. NCBI's taxonomy places the organism in Eukaryota, Viridiplantae, Streptophyta, Magnoliopsida, Cornales, Cornaceae. The transcript has 3 exons. The record is from RefSeq and is a predicted model, not a curated record.